Molecule: transfer RNA, 76 nt
Filed under: Deltaproteobacteria bacterium
Lineage: Bacteria; Pseudomonadati; Myxococcota; Myxococcia
Description: tRNA-Ala
Rfam family: tRNA
About the family: Transfer RNA (tRNA) molecules are approximately 80 nucleotides in length. Their secondary structure includes four short double-helical elements and three loops (D, anti-codon, and T loops).
Source: RNAcentral
GGGGGAUUAGCUCAGCUGGGAGAGCGCGGGCUUUGCAAGCCUGAGGUCAGGGGUUCGAUCCCCCUAUCCUCCACCA